GCUUGUUGAUAAUAAAAUUAUAGGCACAUCAAACCAUGAUAAUUAGCCACUUAUUAAGCCAUCCCGGGGGGUAAGAAUGAUGAGAGCGAUGAGUUGAUUAAACCAUAAUCACCCACUUAAUCAGCAAACAUUUGAAAACUUAGAAAUGCAUUAACUUGCCCACAUGACUCCCAAGCAAAGGCAAAAUAUUGUGAGCCAAGAAGGAUUCCCACAAACAAUAGAAUAUUAAUAUGUUAGUAACUUCAAAAGGAAUUUCUUAAAGGAGGUGAGGUAGGUAAAUGAAAGUGCAUUAACACUGGAAUUAGAUGAGAGGUUCCAAGCAGUCGUGUCAAUGAAACAGUGCUCAGAGAGAGAGAGGCUAGCUUCAUGUACCUGAUGCAUUAGAAAUGACCAUGACCUUUACCAUGGAGCCACAGCUCAUGAAGCCUGUAAGGCUCUUCUUAUACCUCACCAUAGAAUAUAUAGAUCAUCAAGGCACUCUGCCUCUUUCUUGAAAGCAUGCAUUUAGGCUUGCAUCACUAUCAUCACAUUAUAGAUCAGAAAAGCUAAAGUUCAUGGCAACUGGUUAUGAUCAUGUUAAGGCUGCAGGGUCCUUCUAUUAAUAUAUAUCGAGGCAAGUAAACAGAUAACAGCAUUACCAACCUGAGAUGGGCAAUGAAGGAUUCUGAGACUCUUUAUCCAGACAAGUGUGACAAAGAACAGUGCCUGUAACCAGCACCGUUGAGAGCUUCUCCUCUCCAUAUCCAGCUACUUGCACCAUGUCCUCUCGGCUCCACAGCUCUGGCAGCAAGCUCUCUCUUCCAGCAGCCCCCGACGUCCCGAAGAAGAACACCAAGAAUACUAGCAUGAUCACAAGAUUAUUGUACUUGCACACACAAAAGUAGCUCAUCUUCUCUGUGUUUCUGUCUCCAGAACUUUGUAUUUCCUGCAAUGAAAUUAAUCAACACAGAAAGGAAUCCCACGCCCUUGUUUAUAUAAGACAGUUUAUUUUCCACAUGCCCUUCUCAACCCUUCAAAUUACAACCACAAAAGUUGUAAUUUGGCAUUGGGUUGAACGAGGG
RNAcentral lists this long non-coding RNA (1061 nucleotides) under Vitis vinifera (wine grape). RNAcentral describes it as "long non-coding RNA (VVIN_LNC008042)". Lineage: Eukaryota; Viridiplantae; Streptophyta; Magnoliopsida; Vitales; Vitaceae. The record is from RNAcentral.